This 710-nucleotide ribosomal RNA is filed under the name Escherichia coli. Its description in RNAcentral is "partial 23S ribosomal RNA". It matches the Rfam family "Bacterial large subunit ribosomal RNA", at positions 418 to 1129 of the family's 2925-position model. Lineage: Bacteria; Pseudomonadati; Pseudomonadota; Gammaproteobacteria; Enterobacterales; Enterobacteriaceae. The record is from RNAcentral.
CGGGACACGUGGUAUCCUGUCUGAAUAUGGGGGGACCAUCCUCCAAGGCUAAAUACUCCUGACUGACCGAUAGUGAACCAGUACCGUGAGGGAAAGGCGAAAAGAACCCCGGCGAGGGGAGUGAAAAAGAACCUGAAACCGUGUACGUACAAGCAGUGGGAGCCUCUUUAUGGGGUGACUGCGUACCUUUUGUAUAAUGGGUCAGCGACUUAUAUUCUGUAGCAAGGUUAACCGAAUAGGGGAGCCGAAGGGAAACCGAGUCUUAACUGGGCGUUAAGUUGCAGGGUAUAGACCCGAAACCCGGUGAUCUAGCCAUGGGCAGGUUGAAGGUUGGGUAACACUAACUGGAGGACCGAACCGACUAAUGUUGAAAAAUUAGCGGAUGACUUGUGGCUGGGGGUGAAAGGCCAAUCAAACCGGGAGAUAGCUGGUUCUCCCCGAAAGCUAUUUAGGUAGCGCCUCGUGAAUUCAUCUCCGGGGGUAGAGCACUGUUUCGGCAAGGGGGUCAUCCCGACUUACCAACCCGAUGCAAACUGCGAAUACCGGAGAAUGUUAUCACGGGAGACACACGGCGGGUGCUAACGUCCGUCGUGAAGAGGGAAACAACCCAGACCGCCAGCUAAGGUCCCAAAGUCAUGGUUAAGUGGGAAACGAUGUGGGAAGGCCCAGACAGCCAGGAUGUUGGCUUAGAAGCAGCCAUCAUUUAAAGA